GGAGAGAUGGCUGAGCGGUUUAAAGCACUUGCCUGCUAAGCAAGAGCCUGGGUAAUUCCGGGCGCGAGGGUUCGAAUCCCUCUCUCUCCACCA
Molecule: transfer RNA, 93 nt
Filed under: Candidatus Dependentiae bacterium ADurb.Bin331
Lineage: Bacteria
Description: tRNA-Ser
Rfam family: tRNA
About the family: Transfer RNA (tRNA) molecules are approximately 80 nucleotides in length.
Source: RNAcentral